ACAGGGGGUGCAAACGUUGCUCGGAAUCAUUGGGCGUAAAGCGCGCGCAGGCGGUCCUUUAAGUCUGAUGUGAAAGCCCACGGCUCAACCGUGGAGGGUCAUUGGAAACUGGGGGACUUGAGUGCAGAAGAGGAAAGUGGGAUUCCACGUGUAGCGGUGAAAUGCGUAGAGAUGUGGAGGAACACCAGUGGCGAAGGCGACUUUCUGGUCUGUAACUGACGCUGAGGCGCGAAAGCGUGGGGAGCAAACAGGA
Molecule: ribosomal RNA, 253 nt
Filed under: uncultured prokaryote
Description: partial 16S ribosomal RNA
Rfam family: Bacterial small subunit ribosomal RNA
Source: RNAcentral